GUGCUCGCUUCGGCAGCACAUAUACUAAAAUUGGAACGAUACAGAGAAGAUUAGCAUGGCCCCUGCACAAAGGAAGAGAAAGAACAAAAAGACAAAGGGAGGGCUGGA
Molecule: small nuclear RNA, 108 nt
Organism: Jaculus jaculus (lesser Egyptian jerboa)
Lineage: Eukaryota; Metazoa; Chordata; Mammalia; Rodentia; Dipodidae
Source: RefSeq, a predicted model, not a curated record